CCUGUGCCCUCUCUUUUCGACCGCGGCGCGCGACUCGGCGCAGUCCAGCUCAAGACGCGGACAAACUUCAGGGCCGGUGCUUGAAAAGACAGAAUUGUGGUGUUGAAAGGAGCUUU
Pteronotus mesoamericanus is the source of this 116-nucleotide long non-coding RNA. RefSeq lists it as uncharacterized. The transcript has 3 exons. The record is from RefSeq and is a predicted model, not a curated record. Lineage: Eukaryota; Metazoa; Chordata; Mammalia; Chiroptera; Mormoopidae.